UGUUCAUUCUGAGGCCUCCUUAAGUCAUCUGCUUCAUGCUCCUUCUCCAGCAACGUUCACCCUGGUGGCAAAUGUUUGUAAAACUAAGCAAGUGAUAUACAUUACCCUACUGCCAGGAAAUGGAAAAGGGAAGAUGUGUCUACUUUACACUAACAUGUUAACAAUUGAGGCUAUUUCUUUGUAUAGCUACUAAUCGACUCUUAAAACUCUCUGCCAAAGAAGGCACAAGAAAGGAGAGCAGGGCCAAGACUAAAUAAGCGAAGUCUUUGGCCAUACAGUUACCACAUCAUUUUAAAUCUGGUGCAAAUUCAUCUGAAUGAACAGCAUUUCUCCUGGCACUGAAACUUGGGAGAAAAUGUGUUGUGUUGUGGCUUAUCCUUAUUAAAGAUCACUGAGCAAUAUGAUAACCAA
Molecule: non-coding RNA, 411 nt
Organism: Rattus norvegicus (Norway rat)
Lineage: Eukaryota; Metazoa; Chordata; Mammalia; Rodentia; Muridae
Source: RefSeq, a predicted model, not a curated record